AAAUGAAGAAUAUUUCUGCUUUCUACAUUCUCGUAAUUUUUCUUAUUUUAUCAUUGGAUGCAUCGUGUGUAGAAAGCGAAUCCACGAUCUUAAACAUAUCCCUUGGUAAGUUCAAAGAAAUGAGUUUUAUCAGAGGUCGCAGUAACAGGCAGAUUCUCGUCAAACCCUAUCCUUCGCCAGCCGCAAAUCCUCCUGGUCGUCUGUACGGAUCUAAGACACUUUUCACUAACUUUUUUCUGUAUUUUUUCACUGUUUUCUGAAAGGUUUCUUACAGUAAUUUUUCUUGUUGCACACAGAGGCUAUAGUCCACCACCGAUGGAGAAGAAAUAAGGAAGCUCUCAAUGAUGGACACAGAUCUAGGAUUCUAAUUUCUAAGCUGAUGGUUCGACCUAAGAUAUUUAGUACUGAACUGAUUGUACUGAUUGUUCUAUAAAAUUGCGG
RNAcentral lists this long non-coding RNA (441 nucleotides) under Nicotiana benthamiana. RNAcentral's name for it is "long non-coding RNA (NBEN_LNC042092)". The record is from RNAcentral. Lineage: Eukaryota; Viridiplantae; Streptophyta; Magnoliopsida; Solanales; Solanaceae.